UACGUAGGGUGCAAGCGUUGUCCGGAAUUAUUGGGCGUAAAGAGCUCGUAGGCGGUCUGUCGCGUCGGAUGUGAAAAUCCAGGGCUCAACCCUGGACCUGCAUUCGAUACGGGCAGACUAGAGUUCGGUAGGGGAGACUGGAAUUCCUGGUGUAGCGGUGAAAUGCGCAGAUAUCAGGAGGAACACCGGUGGCGAAGGCGGGUCUCUGGGCCGAUAUUGACGCUGAGGAGCGAAAGCGUGGGGAGCGAACAGG
Molecule: ribosomal RNA, 253 nt
Filed under: uncultured bacterium
Lineage: Bacteria
Description: partial 16S ribosomal RNA
Rfam family: Bacterial small subunit ribosomal RNA
Source: RNAcentral